CGAACUGCGAUAAGUAAUGUGAAUUGCAGAAUUCAGUGAAUCAUCGAGUCUUUGAACGCACAUUGCGCCCCCUGGCAUUCCGGGGGGCAUGCCUGUCCGAGCGUCAUUGCUGCCCUUCAAGCCCGGCUUGUGUGUUGGGUCGUCGUCCCCCCCGGGGGACGGGCCCGAAAGGCAGCGGCGGCACCGUGUCCGGUCCUCGAGCGUAUGGGGCUUUGUCACCCGCUCGAUUAGGGCCGGCCGGGCGCCAGCCGGCGUCUCCAACCUUAUUUUUCUCAGGUUGACCUCGGAUCAGGUAGGGAUACCCGCUGAACUUAAGC
RNAcentral lists this unclassified non-coding RNA (317 nucleotides) under plant metagenome. RNAcentral describes it as "partial contains 5.8S ribosomal RNA, internal transcribed spacer 2, and large subunit ribosomal RNA". The stretch from base 1 to 106 matches the Rfam family "5.8S ribosomal RNA", at positions 49 to 154 of the family's 154-position model. The record is from RNAcentral.